This is a long non-coding RNA of Gasterosteus aculeatus aculeatus (three-spined stickleback), 1113 nucleotides long. The record is from Ensembl. NCBI's taxonomy places the organism in Eukaryota, Metazoa, Chordata, Actinopteri, Perciformes, Gasterosteidae.
GGGCGCUGGCCCGCCGCCAAGUUCAUCUUCCCAUGCAUGAAACGAUACAUUUAACACCUGGUUCAUCCCGGGUCACCGGCACCCGCUGUAUAUAAGCGAGGGGGGUGCUGACCAGGUGGCUCGAGCCAACAAUAAAGAGUUGAGCAGUUUUCGACAUGUCCUCAUCUAAAGAGCAUCUGGCGGUACCUUCUCCCGGUCCGCCGCGGGUGCCCAAAUGUACCCGGUGCCGCCACCACGGGACCGUCGUGCCGCUCAAGGGCCACAGUGGGUCGUGUCCCUUCCGCGCGUGCGGAUGCUGGAAGUGCGGCCUCGUCACGCAGCGGACUCGCAUCACGGCGGUACAGCGGCGGAUGAAGAUCGCCCCCGAUGACCCCCGGGACAGAGAGAGGCGGCCCGACGCGCGCGCCGCGGCGACGCGUGCCACUCCGGCCCCGCGGGAGGACGCGCCUCUGUCGGCCACAUUUAGAAUGCAGUGUCCCGCCGCCCCGGGUGGAUGUCCCCCGGGGGCAGAGAGGUCCUCGCACAGCGGGCAGGUGGUGCCCUUCGCUUCCAGGGAGUUUGCGCCGCGAAUCAGUGCCCCUUUCCUUGGUGAAUUUGGUCCGGCCGCCCCUCUGCCUGUCCUCCACGUCCCCUGGAUGUCCGGUUACCCCGGCGACUACGUGCCGCGUCCAAACAUCCUGCUCAACGUGCCGGGGUUUCACCCCGUGCCCGCUGGGCUUUACAGCUACGGCCCCCGCGGGCCCCCGGCGUUCCUCCACUACCCGCCUCCACCGCGGCCUGGGGCCGCUGCUGUGAUCCUCUGUGCACGCCAGCCGCCCCGGGAGCCGCCGCCGCCGCCGCCUCCCUCCGAACACACUGAGCCAGACGUGGAAGUGGAUUAAAGCAGCCAGCUGGUUCACAGUUUGUUAUCGAAUCUGUUCGUUUUCCCCUUCUGUUUUGUACCGAUGACAGUUCUGUUCACACUGAUGGCAUAAAUGUUUCUGCACAGUUUGUUUGUGCAAUAUAUCGAUAUUAAAUAAGGCUUUGACAUUAAAAAAAUAAGUCCGUUAUGGUUCUUAUUUUGUAUGUGUUAUUUUACUCCACAAAGAAAAAUAAAAUAUCUUUUCAUAAACA